AUUGCUUGUGCGUGAAAGUCAAAUUUCAACAACUCCUGAAAUUAUUGUACCUUCAAUUACAAAACAUAAGCUAGAGAGAAAGAGCGAGACGCAUAUUAUGGUACGAGUUUCCUUUACCCUGAACAAUAACUCAAGAAGCUUUAUGUUAAAAAACCUCAGGACCUUUUGAAAUUUGACUUUCACGCACAAGCAAUACUCUUUAAUUUUCAGUCCAGUUUGCCAUCUGCUACUUCAGCAGAUCCUGAAACAGGCUCCUGUACACCAGGUUCACCUUCUGCCUCAACUUUGCCGGGGCUAUCUUUUUU
RNAcentral lists this unclassified non-coding RNA (305 nucleotides) under Hevea brasiliensis (rubber tree). Lineage: Eukaryota; Viridiplantae; Streptophyta; Magnoliopsida; Malpighiales; Euphorbiaceae. The record is from RNAcentral.